CAAAUUUAAUAAUAUUGAUAAUAAUGCGUGAACAAAACAAACAGACACAAUCGGUAAAAAUGUCAUAAAUAAAGGUAAAAUGUCUAAUACGGGAGUUCACAUUCGUGCAAAGGGAACGGGAUUAAAGGGGUGUAUGAUUAAUUUUGUCCUUUUAAAGAGUUAAUUGCCUACACUGCUGUAAAACAUAAAAACAACACGUGAUACAAAGGAGGGGCAAUACAAUCUGACAAAAUCAAAUGCUAGACUAUUAAAACCAACUAAAAGAAAUGUCACAUUCUUGACUUAGAACAGGCUUUUUUUUUACGAAAAUGGUGGGUUAGAACAUUCAGUAUGUACCUGUCCCAAAUCAGGAGCCUGUAAUUCAGUUGUUUUCUGUUUUUGCUGUAUGUCAAUUUGUUUUUUCGUUUUUUGUUUUGUACAUACAUCAUCACAUCAGUUUCCUCGUUUGAAUUGUUGUUCAUUUGUCAUUUCGGGGUCUUUUAUAGCUUACUAUGAGGUAUGGGUU
Molecule: long non-coding RNA, 505 nt
Filed under: Mytilus galloprovincialis (Mediterranean mussel)
Lineage: Eukaryota; Metazoa; Mollusca; Bivalvia; Mytilida; Mytilidae
Source: RNAcentral